RNAcentral lists this long non-coding RNA (521 nucleotides) under Rattus norvegicus (Norway rat). Its description in RNAcentral is "long non-coding RNA NONRATT005445". Lineage: Eukaryota; Metazoa; Chordata; Mammalia; Rodentia; Muridae. The record is from RNAcentral.
AGAGCCCCAUCAGCCAUGGAGGAUGAGGAAUGUAUCCACGCCAGCAUGACCUCAUCCAGUUACAGCCCUCCCUCCAUGUCGUAUUCUGAGGCGGUGGCUUCUCUCCUGAGAAGGUGGGAGAAAAUCCAGCAUCUGAAGCUCAGCUUCCUCUCAGGAGCAAAGAGAAGAAACCCUGGGCUCGCUCUCUCCCUCUCCAUCUCCUAUCAACACUCAGCAGAGGGCAGCAAACAGGAACCAUGGAAAAGAUAAGAGAGAAGAGGGUGCCACAUGGAGAGAAAGCUACGCACGCAUAAACACACACCCACCCGCAGCAGCAAGCGGAAUUGUUUAGCUUCCUCUAGCUUCCAAAGUAUGAACACUCCGCCUCCUCCAGUGAACAGGGCCAGGCAGAAAAAAGUCGAAGCUGAAGAGACAGAAGUUCUUUUCUCAGCUUGAGAGAAAAUGUGCAGUGGACUGGCUUUUGGUGUGUGGAGGGGAAGGGAGGCACUCAGAACACGUGGGAGGGGAAAGGAAGGCGGCCG